Molecule: ribosomal RNA, 460 nt
Filed under: uncultured bacterium
Lineage: Bacteria
Description: partial 16S ribosomal RNA
Rfam family: Bacterial small subunit ribosomal RNA
Source: RNAcentral
CCUACGGGGGGCAGCAGUGAGGAAUAUUGGUCAAUGGGCGUAAGCCUGAACCAGCCAAGUCGCGUGAGGGAUGAAGGUUCUAUGGAUCGUAAACCUCUUUUAUAAGGGAAUAAAGUGCGGGACGUGUCCCGUUUUGUAUGUACCUUAUGAAUAAGGGUCGGCUAACUCCGUGCCAGCAGCCGCGGUAAUACGGAGGAUCCGAGCGUUAUCCGGAUUGAUUGGGUUUAAAGGGUGCGUAGGCGGCCUUUUAAGUCAGCGGUGAAAGUCUGUGGCUCAACCAGAGAAUUGCCGUUGAAACUGGUAGGCUUGAGUAUGUUUGAGGCAGGCGGAAUGCGUGGUGUAGCGGUGAAAUGCUUAGAUAUCAGGAAGAACCCCGAUUGCGAAGGCAGCCUGCCAGGCCAUGACUGACGCUGAUGCACGAAAGCGUGGGGAGCAAACAGGAUUAGAUACCCGAGUAGUC